RNAcentral lists this ribosomal RNA (506 nucleotides) under uncultured bacterium. RNAcentral's name for it is "partial 16S ribosomal RNA". It matches the Rfam family "Bacterial small subunit ribosomal RNA", at positions 30 to 523 of the family's 1533-position model. The record is from RNAcentral.
AUUGAACGCUGGCGGCAGGCCUAACACAUGCAAGUCGAACGGUAACAGGAAACAGCUUGCUGUUUCGCUGACGAGUGGCGGACGGGUGAGUAAUGUCUGGGAAACUGCCUGAUGGAGGGGGAUAUCUACUGGAAACGGUAGCUAAUACCGCAUAACGUCGCAAGACCAAAGAGGGGGACCUUCGGGCCUCUUGCCAUCGGAUGUGCCCAGAUGGGAUUAGCUAGUAGGUGGGGUAACGGCGCACCUAGGCGACGAUCCCUAGCUGGUCUGAGAGGAUGACCAGCCACACUGGAACUGAGACACGGUCCAGACUCCUACGGGAGGCAGCAGUGGGGAAUAUUGCACAAUGGGCGCAAGCCUGAUGCAGCCAUGCCGCGUGUAUGAAGAAGGCCUUCGGGUUGUAAAGUACGUUCAGCGGGGAGGAAGGGAGUAAAGUUAAUACCUUUGCUCAUUGACGUUACCCGCAGAAGAAGCACCGGCUAACUCCGUGCCAGCCGCCGCAGUAA